AACGUAGGUGGCGAGCGUUAUCCGGAUUUACUGGGCGUAAAGCGUGUGCAGGCGGGAUGGUAAGUGGUGUAUGAAAUCUCCGAGCUUAACUUGGAGGGGUUAUGCCAGACUGCCAUUCUAGAGUGCGAGAGAGGAAUGUGGAAUUCUCGGUGUAGAGGUGAAAUUCGUAGAUAUCGAGAGGAACACCGGUGGCGAAGGCGGCCAACUGGACGAACACUGACGCUGAGACUCGAAAGCGUGGGGAGCAAACAGG
This 253-nucleotide ribosomal RNA is filed under the name uncultured bacterium. RNAcentral describes it as "partial 16S ribosomal RNA". It matches the Rfam family "Bacterial small subunit ribosomal RNA", at positions 524 to 776 of the family's 1533-position model. The record is from RNAcentral.